CAGUAGCCGCGGUAAUACGUAGGUGGCAAGCGUUGUCCGGAAUUAUUGGGCGUAAAGGGCUCGCAGGCGGUUUCUUAAGUCUGAUGUGAAAGCCCCCGGCCCAACCGGGGAGGGUCAUUGGAAACUGGGAAACUUGAGUGCAGAAGAGGAGAGUGGAAUUCCACGUGUAGCGGUGAAAUGCGUAGAGAUGUGGAGGAACACCAGUGGCGAAGGCGACUCUCUGGUCUGUAACUGACGCUCAUGCACGAAAGCGUGGGGAGCAAACAGGAUUAGAUACCCGGGUAGUCCCUGUCUCUUAUAA
RNAcentral lists this ribosomal RNA (301 nucleotides) under uncultured bacterium. RNAcentral's name for it is "partial 16S ribosomal RNA". It matches the Rfam family "Bacterial small subunit ribosomal RNA", at positions 509 to 809 of the family's 1533-position model. The record is from RNAcentral.